ACCUGGGACGGCUCAGUCGGCAGAGCAGGAGACCCUUCAUCUCAGAGUCGUGGGGUCAAGCCCCACAUCGGGCA
Non-coding RNA from Podarcis lilfordi (Lilford's wall lizard), 74 nucleotides. NCBI's taxonomy places the organism in Eukaryota, Metazoa, Chordata, Lepidosauria, Squamata, Lacertidae. The record is from the annotation of a GenBank genome assembly.